AUGCAGGCUGAUCGAAGCAACUCCAGCAGACAGCAAGGGCCUGUUAGGAAUCAGAGUAAAAACCCUCAACGCAAGAAACAGGAUCAGGUACAUAAAGCUAUUUCAGCCUCCUCUACUGGUCUGAUGUCGUAUGCUCAGGUGAUAUGCUACAAUUGUGGGGAUCCAUGCCACCACAAGGAUAAGUGUGAAAAGCCAAAGAGCUGCAUCAUAUGCAAGAUGGUUACUCAUGUGGUUGAUGAUUGCCCAGUCUGGAAGCAAGCCCACACAUCUGCUAGAUAUGUGGGGAGUGCUGCCCAAGGACUUGGCUUUUACCACCUUGAUGUACCUGAUGUUAAUGCACAACACCAUGGAGCUCUGAAGAAUGUAGGCAUUGUGCUUAUAGAAUCUGGAGAGGUGACUAAGCAAGAAUUAGCAGAGGAAUUUGCUGAUAUUUACAAGACUAAUUGGCCAUGGCCCAUCAAUGCACUGGAUGAUUGGACCUUCUUAGUGAAAUUCCCUCCAGAGAUUGAUGUUGCUCAUGUUGCAGGUUAA
RNAcentral lists this ribosomal RNA (531 nucleotides) under Triticum aestivum (bread wheat). Its description in RNAcentral is "partial small subunit ribosomal RNA". Lineage: Eukaryota; Viridiplantae; Streptophyta; Magnoliopsida; Poales; Poaceae. The record is from RNAcentral.